CGAACGAACUCUGGUAUUGAUUGAUGCUUGCAUCAUGAUUUACAUUUGAGUGAGUGGCGAACUGGUGAGUAACACGUGGGAAACCUGCCCAGAAGCGGGGGAUAACACCUGGAAACAGAUGCUAAUACCGCAUAACAACUUGGACCGCAUGGUCCGAGUUUGAAAGAUGGCUUCGGCUAUCACUUUUGGAUGGUCCCGCGGCGUAUUAGCUAGAUGGUGGGGUAACGGCUCACCAUGGCAAUGAUACGUAGCCGACCUGAGAGGGUAAUCGGCCACAUUGGGACUGAGACACGGCCCAAACUCCUACGGGAGGCAGCAGUAGGGAAUCUUCCACAAUGGACGAAAGUCUGAUGGAGCAACGCCGCGUGAGUGAAGAAGGGUUUCGGCUCGUAAAACUCUGUUGUUAAAGAAGAACAUAUCUGAGAGUAACUGUUCAGGUAUUGACGGUAUUUAACCAGAAAGCCACGGCUANACUACGUGCCAGCAGCCGCGGUAAUACGUAGGUGGCAAGCGUUGUCCGGAUUUUGGGCGUAAAGCGAGCGCAGGCGGUUUUUUAAGUCUAUGUGAAAGCCUUCGGCUCAACCGAAGAAGGCAUCGGAAACUGGAAACUUGAGUGCAGAAGAGGACAGUGGAACUCCAUGUGUAGCGGUGAAAUGCGUAGAUAUAUGGAAGAACACCAGUGGCGAAGGCGGCUGUCUGGUCUGUAACUGACGCUGAGGCUCGAAAGUAUGGGUAGCAAACAGGAUUAGAUACCCUGGUAGUCCAUACCGUAAACGAUGAAUGCUAAGUGUUGGAGGGUUUCCGCCCUUCAGUGCUGCAGCUAACGCAUUAAGCAUUCCGCCUGGGGAGUACGGCCGCAAGGCUGAAACUCAAAGGAAUUGACGGGGGCCCGCACAAGCGGUGGAGCAUGUGGUUUAAUUCGAAGCUACGCGAAGAACCUACCAGGUCUUGACAUACUAUGCAAAUCUAAGAGAUUAGACGUUCCCUUCGGGGACAUGGAUACAGGUGGUGCAUGGUUGUCGUCAGCUCGUGUCGUGAGAUGUUGGGUUAAGUCCCGCAACGAGCGCAACCCUUAUUAUCAGUUGCCAGCAUUAAGUUGGGCACUCUGGUGAGACUGCCGGUGACAAACCGGAGGAAGGUGGGGAUGACGUCAAAUCAUCAUGCCCCUUAUGACCUGGGCUACACACGUGCUACAAUGGAUGGUACAACGAGUUGCGAACUCGCGAGAGUAAGCUAAUCUCUUAAAGCCAUCUCAGUUCGGAUUGUAGGCUGCAACUCGCCUACAUGAGGUCGGAAUCGCUAGUAAUCGCGGAUCAGCAUGCCGCGGUGAAUACGUUCCCGGGCCUUGUACACACCGCCCGUCACACCAUGAGAGUUUGUAACACCCAAAGUCGGUGGGGUAACCUUUUAGGAACCAGCCGCCUAAGGUGGGACAGAUGAUUAGGGUGAAGUCGUAACAAGGUAGCC
Molecule: ribosomal RNA, 1467 nt
Filed under: Lactiplantibacillus plantarum
Lineage: Bacteria; Bacillati; Bacillota; Bacilli; Lactobacillales; Lactobacillaceae
Description: bacterial SSU rRNA
Rfam family: Bacterial small subunit ribosomal RNA
Source: RNAcentral